CUUCAUUGUCCUGGAAAGGUAUAUAUAGAGAUGCCUGGCGCCUUGGUGUAGGCAAGUGUUGCUACAACAUGGGAGGACUACUUGACAAAGUGGAGUCGGAGUCGGAGUCGGAGUCGGAGUCGGAGUUGGAGUCGGAGUCGGAGUCGGAGUCGGAAAUUGAGAUAGAUAACAUCGAUUUGGAGGAAGAAGCCUCAAGCUCCACAGAAAGGAAGAGAAAUCAUUCUGAUCAGCCCAAUGGCUUGGACAGUGAGACGAUACAAAUCCUCAUGGGGAAGACUAAAAAGAAGAAUGAAAACAGGCCAACGGCAGAUGAAGAAACUCCAGAGGAUUCUUCCAACACUUAUCCUGACAAUCCUCCAAGUAAGCCCCUGUGCCCACCUGGAGCCCAAGAUGCUGAGGCAUCUACUGUAACUCCAGGAAAAGCAAAGGCAGAAUAGUCGUUUGUGCAGGGAUCAAACAUACAACGAUGGUCCCCUCUGGACAGACCAAAGUACGCAGAUGUUGAUGAUUAAAGUACCAACAAGCAGGAAA
This 531-nucleotide long non-coding RNA is filed under the name Capra hircus (goat). Its description in RNAcentral is "lncRNA (ENSCHIG00000003961.1)". Lineage: Eukaryota; Metazoa; Chordata; Mammalia; Artiodactyla; Bovidae. The record is from RNAcentral.